Molecule: long non-coding RNA, 3580 nt
Organism: Mustela putorius furo (domestic ferret)
Lineage: Eukaryota; Metazoa; Chordata; Mammalia; Carnivora; Mustelidae
Source: Ensembl
NNNNNNNNNNNNNNNNNNNNNNCCCCGCCGGCGUCAGGGAGGCGCGGGCCGGGCCAGGUGCACACGGCCACGCGGGGACCGGGUCGGCCGCGCACAUUCAGACCCAGGAGCGCCUGACAAGUACGCCCCGACUGAGCCCGGUACAGUCACGGUCGCGCUGAAUGAAUCAGGUACCCAGAGGUCGAUCCACCCACCGCUGGAGGACCCCGAAGAGCUACCCCUUUUCAUGGACCUACCUCUUCAGGGUCACUUCCACCGCAGAAAAGUGGCAGAACCAUGGUCGGAACUCCAGACUCAGGACUCCCAACUCCAGAGCUCACUCCCUAGAGCCGGGCAGCCCAGCCCAUAGUGUGAACUUGCCAAUCAGCAAACGAGGCUCCACGCUGCCCAGAAGGGCUGUGGACUCAGCAUGGCAGAGACGGGGGACUGGGGCACCGGGCUCAGGACGGGACAGAGACCUGCUGCAGCUACUGGAAGAGGACAUGCUUAUUUCAGGGGGUGGGGUGUUGGGGGGAAGCCUGGAAUCUCAAAGGGGUCACUUUGGGUCUAGAGCUGGUAGGAGCCUUCAACAAAAUGGCAGAGUCUGGAGUCAGCCCGGCCUGACUCAGGUCUGAGUCCUUUCUCUACCGUGCACUAGCUCUUUGACCAUGGGCAUGAGACUUUACCUCCUUGAGCCUCAAGUUCCUGAUCUGCAGAAUGGGGUAAUAAUAGGGCUUAUUCCAAAAGAUUUUUGUAAAGAUUUACUGGAGGAGUAAUGUAUACAAUUGUUGAAUCACUAUAGUGUCCACAUGAACCUAGUAUAACACCGUAUAUUAACUAUAUUGGAAUUAAAAUAAAAAACAUAAUAGUAAUAAUAAGAGAUUUCCUGGGAAAAAAUACCAAGUAAAGCAUUUUGCUUGAUGUCUGGCCUAUAUUGCAGGUAUUGUGGUUAGUUCAAGUUAACCUGCACCACCCACACUCAGAGGACUGAUUUGACAGGUCUGAACUUGGGCCUCAGUCUUCCUAGAAUUAGUUAUUUAUGUCAGUCUUGAUUAUGGUUAAGAAUUCCUAGAGGGUUGAGGCGCCCUUAACUGACUCAGGUACCUCAAAAACUCAGUCAUUGUAGUUUGAAGUACACUUAAUUUAAUUUCUCUUUUAAACUAGCCAUUUAUGCCCUACUUUGUUCCUUCCUUUUGCCAAGGUUUUUUUUCUGCCUGGGAGUGGGAGGGUUCCCCGUUCUUGAACCUUCUUUGUGGCUUUUGGCAGGAUUUUCUUUAGAACACUCUUCCUGCAAUAUGUACACCUCACCACCAGGUGGCAGUAGAGUCCCUGGCAGUCGGCGCCAGGACACCGCGACCAUGAUUUCCAUCCUUGGGAGAUAUUUAAAAAUGGAUUUCUAUUUAUUAAAUCAGUUCAAUGAGAUUAACCUACUCACCACCCCCAACGUUAAGCAUGGCAAGCAUCACAGCAGCUAAUGAGACAAAAUACAAAGUGUUUGGUACACUCAAUUAUCUUUUCUCAGCUAAUCCCUAAAAAGCGUAUAAUCUGGUGCUCCCGUUCCUUCAGAGAAGGCUUUUUCUUCUCCUAACACCCAGGUUUGCUUCAGUUGGUCUCACCACCCCACUGCGGCUUCCUUCUGCUCUGGCUUCUUUUCACCUAUUCAGCCAAUACUUAGCAUUCUUCUGCUCUGUGCCAGGCCCCGUGCAGUGUAUGUUCGGUCCUGAACAAGCUCAGGGUCUAGCGGGGGCAGGCUUGAUGCAGACAGAGCAGGAGGUCCCAACUCCAAAUGCUACAGUGUCUGGGUGGGGCACAGAGAUGAGUGCCGCAGGUCUGGGGUGAGAAGGGUAGGCACCUGGGGGGUCUCGGCCAUCUGGAGCCUUGGGACCCAGCUACUGGGGGACACUGGCCACUCAACUCCACCUGAUUCUGUUGUCAAGUGAAAAGAUGGCUUUGUAUUGCCAGAUUAUCCUCUUCUUCAAGAGAAAUUAAUAUACUGAUUUUUUUUUUUAAAUAUAUAAGAUCACUUACUUUCAAUCUAUUCCCAGGCCAGAUUCGGCCCUCGGGUUGUGAGUUUGAGACUGUGAAAGGGAGGCCAGUGGCUGGGCCUGAGGGGGCAGUGAAGAGCUAUGUCCAGGGGACUGUAGGAGCCUGAGGAGGGGAGCCCCAGCUCUGCCCUGAGCAUGCACGCAUUCAUCCAUUCAGCAAGUGUUCAUUGUCUUCCUAUUGUGUGCAGAGUUCUGUGCUGAAUACUGGGGGUUCCUAGGUGCCGUCUGCCCUUCACGGAGCACACAGCCCAGUAGGGGAGACACAUACCCAAUGUCGCAUUCCGCCAGCUGUGGUUUGGUUGUAAAUUGUGUCUCAGGGGCCGGUGUACUGUGCAGUGAGAACCUGGGGAUGGGUCAGGGAAGGCUUCCCGAAGGAAGUGACAUUUGGUCUGAGCUCUGAAGAAUAAAUCGGGGUUUAUCUGAUCCAUUUCCCAGGCCAGCUGCUCCCUCCUUCUGAGUUCUGUUUUUCUCUCUGCAAGUUCCUGCCUUUCGCUGUCCUCACAUUCACCAACUCAGAGUUUGUCCCCUUUCCCCACCCCUAAGCCCUCAAGGUCACAUGGAACAUCUUCAAGGUCAAAGGUCCCCACUCAUGCCUGCCCCUCCUGUCCAUCCUCAGCCUCCCCUGGGUUUGUCCUGACCACUCCUUUUGCACAUAUCUUUCUUUGAACACUAAACGUUCAACAGAAAACACAACCAUACAUUUUCUGGUGUGUCCUCUUUGAAAUGAGAACAAGGUCAUGCCGGUCCCCAGCUGGGGCUCUCUGGGAUCUCCGGGAGAGAGGCCCGCAUCCUGGCUCCACCAUCACAGGCUGUGUGACCUUGGGCGGGAGACCCUUUACAGAUGGUACUUUGUAUUUCGUGGACUGGUUUGUGACCGGGAGGUUUUCCUUGGCACUUUGCUAUUGCUUCCCGCCCAAGUGGAAGACUCGAGCUGUUUCCCCCAAUCCGAUUGCUGAAUGAAUUCAGCGUGGUUUCCGUCAGUGAACCAGUGCACAGCGAAGCUUUGCCUUCAGCUGGGCCGGCGUGAGGCUCCAGGGUGAGAGGAGGGGGAAACGUGAUGUCUUUGCUGGAAACCUCCCGGACGGGGCUCCUUAGAGGUGGACCCCAGUUCAGGGCCAGGUCUUCUGCUUGUCCGCUCUGGGACUGGCGGCCCUUAGCUGCCUGCCCUGACCCUCACCUUCCUCGGUGAGGUCUCGAUGUUAUCAUUGAUGACAUGUGGGAAGUUCGCAUCAGGGAUUCAAGACGCCAUUGUUCUCCCUUUGAAUCGAUAUUUACAAAUGCAAGCACGUGCAUGAAACCCAUGCACUUACCUGAUGCGGAUUAGCUAUUCGUAAUAAUCAGGCUCACAGUCAUUAUAAAUACCGCGCAGACAUGUUUGCGGCUGGGGGCGUUGGUUCUGAGUCCGUCCUUGGGAAAGGUGGUUUGGGACGUCCAGGGGGAUUCAGAUUGUAAACCGGUGUCCCAGGGCCUGCUGAGGGGUGGGGCACAAGCACAGAACGGGCAUGGGGGGAAGCUGCCCCUUCUCCCCACCGUGGGUGCUCCCUGCGGUCCCACUC